Molecule: ribosomal RNA, 387 nt
Filed under: uncultured bacterium
Lineage: Bacteria
Description: bacterial SSU rRNA
Rfam family: Bacterial small subunit ribosomal RNA
Source: RNAcentral
GACGAACGCUGGCGGCGUGCUUAAUACAUGCAAGUCGAGCGAGGCCCAUCCAGUGGCAACACUGGGGAAGGCCGAGCGGCGAACGGGUGAGUAACACGUGAGCAACCUGCCCCGAAGUCUGGAAUAACAUCGGGAAACCGGUGCUAAUACCGGAUUGCCCCACCUGACCGCAUGAUCGGGUGAGGAAAGAUUUAUCGCUUCGGGAGGGGCUCGCGGCCUAUCAGCUAGUGGCGGGGUAACGGCCCACCAAGGCGUCGACGGGUAGCUGGUCUGAGAGGACGACCAGCCACACUGGGACUGAGACACGGCCCAGACUCCUACGGGAGGCAGCAGUAGGGAAUCUUGCGCAAUGGGCGAAAGCCUGACGCAGCAACGCCGCGUGGGGGA